ACCAAUGCAAGGCUGAAGUGUGUGAAAUGAAGGCCGUUACAAUUCAGGUACGUUAACCAUCAAGUUUUUCACAUGUUCUCAUUCAUUCAAACAGAUUCGAGACAUCUUUCUUCCCUCCAUAUGAGCUCCGCUCUAUUCCGCCACGCCAGAAAUCGCCUCCGGCGGCGAAGGCAAUCAAACCAACAUCUUAAUCACAUAACCAGAAGCGCAAUUUCAUCCUCAACCAGAAUCUCUCCUUGCUUCUAUCCAAUUUCCAACUCAUGUUUCGAAAUCCAAAAUUUGAUCCACGAACCCUAGAUCUUAUAACAGAAAUUAAAUGGAUACCGUGCAUGGAUUCACAUCAAAAUCCUAGGGCUAAUGAUCUUGAGGGUAUAUAAUAUGAUAUGGUAACAAAAUUGUGAUGAAAUAAGAAGAGGAAUACCUCCGAAGCAGAGGUUUGCUCCGGCGAACGUUGAAUUGAAGGAAGAAGGUUGCAACGCGAGGAAAUCACUUGAAUCCGGCCAUGCAGAUUUAGUUUGUGCCCAUAAAAUGAGAGUUGCACAUUCUACUUGGCUUCCAUCGGAUUGGAAUAUUUUGGUCAUGAGAAAGUAUAUGGACAUGAAUAUUAAUGCUUAGGAUUAGAACCUUUAGGUAACAUGUUAGUUGAAAGUUGAAAGUUGAAAGUUAAAUGAAAUUGUAUUGAAUGGAAUGUGUACAUGAAUGAAAAACAUAGGUUGAAUGAAAGUUUGAAAAUUGAAUAAAAUGGAAAAUUAUAUUCUAUUGAAGACA
This is a long non-coding RNA of Lathyrus oleraceus (garden pea), 768 nucleotides long. RefSeq lists it as uncharacterized. The record is from RefSeq and is a predicted model, not a curated record. NCBI's taxonomy places the organism in Eukaryota, Viridiplantae, Streptophyta, Magnoliopsida, Fabales, Fabaceae. The transcript has 2 exons.